UCAGUUUAAAGGCCAUUUGUUUGCAUAUUUCUGGUGCAAGAGGGCGUGCCUUACUCAAAAGAGAAGGAUCAAAUACAUGACAUCAAAAAUAGACUAAAACGCUCAUAGAAGGAAAUAAAUCAACAACUCUUGUUUUCCAAACAAUCUUAUACGAACAAAUUCUUACAGAAGAACCAAACUAUAUGUAAUCAGGCCUUGAAUCGUCAUCACGUGUAUAAGGAAGGAAACUAAAAAGAUCUGUACUAAAUAGGAGGUUUUCGUUGCUAGCUUUAGUAUUUCCAAACAAAUUAUUGGCUUCCCACUAAAUGAUACGCAUGCUAAAAAUUAUACGAAUCCGGUGUUGCUUAGUAAGAUCUUACAAUGAGCGAUAGAAGAUGUUAAUUCUGUCCAAAACAGGCUCAUCGAGCAGGGGAAGAAAAACAACAGAACAAUUACAAAAUUCUAACUUGAUGGAACCAAAAUAGCAUAGUCAUGACAAGCACAAAUGAGCAUACUCAUGGAAAGCAUAACUGGGCUGAUUAUCGACGCACCAUUCAUUUAGCUACCAUACGACAGUUUAAUUCCAGUCAUGAAUUAUCAAAACAAAAACUAUACAGGUUUCACUUCCAAAACAGAUUUAGUUAACAAAUUGAUAGACAAACGAAUGGUCUCAGAUCCCCUAUAAAAAGACACUAAUUCAACUCCCAACAAUCAUAUCGGAACAAAGGUUAAACACUAAGCGUGAUGUCAAUAUAGCUUCCAUUCCAACCUUCCAAGGGUCAUGUGUUCACUCUUUAGUAACAGCAAAAUCCAAGCACAAUCUUCUAUGUUUGUUCAAAAGAAGAGAUACUAGAGAAUCAGAUAACCAAGUGGAAAACCAUGAGGAUAUACAUUACUGAUUCAGAUUCAUUUGACAAUCAUAUGGUAGAGCAGAACAGUAAAUGAAAUUGCAGAUAACCAUACAAGCCUCAUCUAUUGUUUUAACUGAAAUAGUUUUACAGUCCAUCCAUGGCUCCUUUCACAACAAAAAUAAGAGGAAGAGCAGAAAUGAACCUGCGAUGAAAAUAAACUUAGUCUCAAUACUGAAAUCAACGCAGAGCAGAAACAGCUACGAAUCGAUGCCUCGAGCAAUAACGAGUUCAAUUAUCUCUCAAUCGAACUCUAUUUUUUACAAAAUCCAGACUGAAAGAAGAGAUGGAAUCCAUAUGUUUUGAAGCUUGUAAAUAAUAAACCAAACAACCAUAAAAUCACUGAAUAUUGAACAUUCUUUCUAUAUUUUCUUUUUCUGAAGUUCAACUAUGAAUGAAAGAAAACGGUAAGAAGAAGAAGCUAUCUCUCCAACCCAGAUUUUUGAAGAAAAAAAAAAUAUAGACCUCUUUGAAAAAUCAUCUCUACAAAAUCCCUCUAAAAACUCACUCCUCCGAAAUCCAUCCAGAAUCCCUUUUAAGAACGAAUUCCUGAUGAAUGUGGGGCUUGGAUUGAGUGAAAUCAAUCUAACGCCUCACACUCAUCCAGCAAAUUGUUCUCAGAAGCUUCCAAUCGCGUGCCUUAAUCUCCAAAUCGAGCGACUGAAGGGAAUGAGAAUAUUCAUGUUAGAAACAGUUAGAGAUGGUGAUGAGGAGAGAAGGAUGAACGCGUGAGGAGGGAUUUGAGACUCACUCGCUUGGAUUUGGGCUAAAUUGUGGCUUGGUUCAUGUUCUUCUUUGGAGAAGAAGAACAAUCGCCUUGUCACUGGUGAGAUUAGGGCUUCGCGUGUAUGU
Molecule: long non-coding RNA, 1739 nt
Filed under: Nicotiana benthamiana
Lineage: Eukaryota; Viridiplantae; Streptophyta; Magnoliopsida; Solanales; Solanaceae
Description: long non-coding RNA (NBEN_LNC036722)
Source: RNAcentral